CCUACGAGCGGCAGCAGUGAGGAAUAUUGGUCAAUGGACGCAAGUCUGAACCAGCCAUGCCGCGUGCAGGAAAACGGCUCUAUGAGAUGUAAACUGCUUUUGUACGAGGGUAAACGCAGAUACGCGUAUCUGUCUGAAAGUAUCGUACGAAUAAGGAUCGGCUAACUCCGUGCCAGCAGCCGCGGUAAUACGGAGGAUUCAAGCGUUAUCCGGAUUUAUUGGGUUUAAAGGGUGCGUAGGCGGUCGGAUAAGUUAGAGGUGAAAUCCCGAGGCUCAGCUUCGGAAUUGCCUCUGAUACUGUUCGGCUAGAGAGUAGUUGCGGUAGGCGGAAUGUAUGGUGUAGCGGUGAAAUGCUUAGAGAUCAUACAGAACACCGAUUGCGAAGGCAGCUUACCAAGCUACUUCUGACGUUGAGGCACGAAAGCGUGGGGAGCAAACAGGAUUAGAUACCCUUGUAGUC
RNAcentral lists this ribosomal RNA (460 nucleotides) under uncultured bacterium. Its description in RNAcentral is "partial 16S ribosomal RNA". It matches the Rfam family "Bacterial small subunit ribosomal RNA", at positions 338 to 795 of the family's 1533-position model. The record is from RNAcentral.